AACAGGCUGAUCUUCCCCAAGAGUCCACAUCGACGGGAAGGUUUGGCACCUCGAUGUCGGCUCUUCGCCACCUGGAGCUGUAGGUGGUUCCAAGGGUUGGGCUGUUCGCCUCUCCCGGCUGAAACAAAUAUGCCCUAUUUUCCGAUACUUGAUCAAGCAUU
This 161-nucleotide non-coding RNA is filed under the name Oryza sativa Indica Group (long-grained rice). Its description in RNAcentral is "Bacterial large subunit ribosomal RNA". It matches the Rfam family "Bacterial large subunit ribosomal RNA", at positions 2476 to 2589 of the family's 2925-position model. Lineage: Eukaryota; Viridiplantae; Streptophyta; Magnoliopsida; Poales; Poaceae. The record is from Rfam by way of RNAcentral.